This 492-nucleotide ribosomal RNA is filed under the name uncultured bacterium. Its description in RNAcentral is "partial 16S ribosomal RNA". It matches the Rfam family "Bacterial small subunit ribosomal RNA", at positions 29 to 507 of the family's 1533-position model. The record is from RNAcentral.
AGUGAACGCUGGCGGUAGGCCUAACACAUGCCAGUCGAACGGCAGCACAGUAAGAGCUUGCUCUUACGGGUGGCGAGUGGCGGACGGGUGAGGAAUACAUCGGAAUCUACUUUUUCGUGGGGGAUAACGUAGGGAAACUUACGCUAAUACCGCAUACGACCUACGGGUGAAAGCAGGGGAUCUUCGGACCUUGCGCGAUUGAAUUAGCCGAUGUCGGAUUAGCUAGUUGGCGGGGUAAAGGCCCACCAAGGCGACGAUCCGUAGCUGGUCUGAGAGGAUGAUCAGCCACACUGGAACUGAGACACGGUCCAGACUCCUACGGGAGGCAGCAGCGGGGAAUAUUGGACAAUGGGCGCAAGCCUGAUCCAGCCAUACCGCGUGGGUGAAGAAGGCCUUCGGGUUGUAAAGCCCUUUUGUUGGGAAAGAAAAGCAGCAGGUUAAUACCCCGCUGUUCUGACGGUACCCAAAGAAUAAGCACCGGCUAACUUCGUG